This 254-nucleotide ribosomal RNA is filed under the name uncultured bacterium. RNAcentral's name for it is "partial 16S ribosomal RNA". It matches the Rfam family "Bacterial small subunit ribosomal RNA", at positions 524 to 776 of the family's 1533-position model. The record is from RNAcentral.
UACGGGGGGAGCAAGCGUUGUUCGGAUUUACUGGGCGUAAAGGGCGCGUAGGCGGCCAGCACAAGUCAGUUGUGAAAUCUCCGAGCUUAACUCGGAACGGUCAGCUGAUACUGCUUUGCUAGAGUGCAGAAGGGGCAAUCGGAAUUCUUGGUGUAGCGGUGAAAUGCGUAGAUAUCAAGAGGAACACCUGAGGUGAAGACGGGUUGCUGGGCUGACACUGACGCUGAGGCGCGAAAGCUAGGGUAGCAAACGGG